Non-coding RNA from Lipomyces mesembrius, 112 nucleotides. The record is from the annotation of a GenBank genome assembly. Lineage: Eukaryota; Fungi; Ascomycota; Lipomycetes; Lipomycetales; Lipomycetaceae.
GCACUAUUCUGAUUGAGUUGCUGAUGGUAUAAUUCUCGCGUAGGGCUGUUAACUCUAAGUUGCUAUUAAAAUAGUUUGCGAGAGGUCCCGGGUUCAAUUCCCGGUUGAGCCC